UAACGCGUGGGUAACCUGCCUUAUACUGGGGGAUAGCAGCUGGAAACGGCUGGUAAUACCGCAUAAGCGCACAAUGUUGCAUGACAUGGUGUGAAAAACUCCGGUGGUAUAAGAUGGACCCGCGUCUGAUUAGCUAGUUGGUGAGAUAACAGCCCACCAAGGCGACGAUCAGUAGCCGACCUGAGAGGGUGACCGGCCACAUUGGGACUGAGACACGGCCCAG
RNAcentral lists this ribosomal RNA (223 nucleotides) under uncultured bacterium. RNAcentral's name for it is "partial 16S ribosomal RNA". It matches the Rfam family "Bacterial small subunit ribosomal RNA", at positions 111 to 334 of the family's 1533-position model. The record is from RNAcentral.